ACCUUACGGAGGGGUGGAUUAUUAGAUUCAAAACCAAUGCCCUCCGGGGCUCCUUGGUGAGUCAUGAUAACUUCGCGGAUCGCAUGGCCUUGCGCCGGCGAUGGGUUCAUCCGAAUUUCUGCCCUAUCAACUUUCGAUGGCUGGGUCUUGGCCAGCCAUGGUGACAACGGGUAACGGAGGGUUAGGGCUCGACCCCGGAGAAGGAGCCUGAGAGAUGGCUACUACAUCCAAGGAAGGCAGCAGGCGCGCAAAUUACCCAAUCCCGACCCGGGGAGGUAGUGACAAUACAUACUGAUACAGGGCUCUUUUGGGUCUUGUAAUUGGAAUGAGUACAAUUUAAAUCCCUUAACGAGGAACAAUUGGAGGGCAAGUCUGGUGCCAGCAGCCGCGGUAAUUCCAGCUCCAAUAGCGUAUAUUAAAGUUGUUGAGGUUAAAAAGCUCGUAGUUGAACCUUGGGCCUGGCUGGCCGGUCCGCCUCACCGCGUGCACUGGUCCGGCCGGGCCUUUCCCUCUGGGGAUCCGCAUGGCCUUUACUGGGUGUGCCGGGGGACCAGGACGUUUACUCUGAACAAAUCAGAUCGCUUAAAGAAGGCCUAUGCUCGAAUGUUCUAGCAUGGAAUAAUGGAAUAGGACGUGCGGUUCUAUUUUGUUGGUUUCUAGGACCGCCGUAAUGAUUAAUAGGGACAGUCGGGGGCAUCAGUAUUCAAUUGUCAGAGGUGAAAUUCUUGGAUUUAUUGAAGACUAACUACUGCGAAAGCAUUUGCCAAGGAUGUUUUCAUUAAUCAGGAACGAAAGUUAGGGGAUCGAAGACGAUCAGAUACCGUCGUAGUCUUAACCAUAAACUAUGCCGAUUAGGGAUCGGACGGUGUUAUUUUUUGACCCGUUCGGCAC
RNAcentral lists this ribosomal RNA (891 nucleotides) under Phyllachora chloridis. Its description in RNAcentral is "SSU rRNA". It matches the Rfam family "Eukaryotic small subunit ribosomal RNA", at positions 186 to 1086 of the family's 1831-position model. Lineage: Eukaryota; Fungi; Ascomycota; Sordariomycetes; Phyllachorales; Phyllachoraceae. The record is from RNAcentral.